AGCCACCAACACCAAGUUUGACUGCAAAAUUGUGAUGUAUGAGUUAACAUAGAAUAAAAGAGUUUACAAAGCAUCAACAUGGUAAUGAGAAGCACCGUUGAUAGUUGACAUAGAGACUUGUUACAAAAUACACGAGAAAAGAAACAGACAUUAAUCAGAGUCCAAAAAGUAUCUAAGCAAUUAAAGAACACAUUCUUCACAGGCA
RNAcentral lists this unclassified non-coding RNA (205 nucleotides) under Hevea brasiliensis (rubber tree). Lineage: Eukaryota; Viridiplantae; Streptophyta; Magnoliopsida; Malpighiales; Euphorbiaceae. The record is from RNAcentral.